RNAcentral lists this long non-coding RNA (909 nucleotides) under Equus caballus (horse). RNAcentral describes it as "lncRNA (ENSECAG00000046368.1)". Lineage: Eukaryota; Metazoa; Chordata; Mammalia; Perissodactyla; Equidae. The record is from RNAcentral.
UGAGGGAGUGAGCUGGAAGAUUCAGCCCCAGGGUGAGGAAGAAGAGGAGGAGGGGGCCUUUAAAUAGCAGGUGGCUUCGCUGUUUCCAUAAAUGAAAAUGCAGAAUGGAGGGGACAGGAGACUGAAGAGGACUUCACCUCUGAGUGAAUCACCUGCCAUCCAGCCUGCUUGCUUCAGGAAGCUGAACCCGACGUCUCAUGGCAGUUCUAUUUUCAGAAGAAGCCACCAAGAAGAGAGUGAAGAAUGUGCUCACAGAGACACAGCUGUAAGUGGCAGAGCCGGGAUUCAAACCCAGCUUGGUCAGAAGACUAACACUCUUAGCUACCCCACUCUGCUGCCUCUCUCAUCCUGCAUCGUGAAGGAGUUCACAACAUGCCGACCCAAAAUACGCCACUCUGGCAUAGUGACUAUUUUGAGAUAAAGGCACUUUAAAAAAUAGCAAAUAUGUGAAAAACACUCUGACGAUUCUUCUUUUUCUUAAAAGCAGGAGAUAAAUUCCCAUAUGAAAGAUGUCUUCUCUACACCAGAAGGAAAGUAACGUUCUUAUCAUCCAGGAUAAGUUGAGAUCAAGAGAAUUCUAUACAAACAGACCUUGUUAAAAUCAUUCUUAUCUUCCUUCGGCCUCCCCGCAGAGUGGUGGCUUUUCUACCAUUGCCUCUCUUUGUUCAAUAUACCAUAAAAGCAAGUAGGUUUUGCUCUUUCUUUGGGUCUUCAUUCCUUACGGGUUCUCCCGUGUCACCUAAAACUUAUAUUAAAUAAAUUUGUAUGUUUUUCUCCUGUUGAUCUGUCUUCUGUCCAUCUAAUUCUCAGGCCCAGCCAAAAAGACCCCCGAGAGCGUAAGGGUAGAGCCAGCCUCCCCUGCACCUGCUCCCUCCUAAAUGCACCUGUGCUCCUCCCUCAUUUUACCCG